GAGGGUGUGGCUCAGUGGUAGGGCGCAUGCUUAGCAUGCACAAGGUCCUGGGUUCAAUCCCCAGUACCUCCA
This 72-nucleotide transfer RNA is filed under the name Camelus bactrianus (Bactrian camel). It matches the Rfam family "tRNA". Rfam says of the family: Transfer RNA (tRNA) molecules are approximately 80 nucleotides in length. Their secondary structure includes four short double-helical elements and three loops (D, anti-codon, and T loops). Further hydrogen bonds mediate the characteristic L-shaped molecular structure. tRNAs have two regions of fundamental functional importance: the anti-codon, which is responsible for specific mRNA codon recognition, and the 3' end, to which the tRNAs corresponding amino acid is attached (by aminoacyl-tRNA synthetases). tRNAs cope with the degeneracy of the genetic code in two manners: having more than one tRNA (with a specific anti-codon) for a particular amino acid; and 'wobble' base-pairing, i.e. permitting non-standard base-pairing at the 3rd anti-codon position. RNAcentral also lists the same sequence under 2 other names. The record is from Rfam by way of RNAcentral. Lineage: Eukaryota; Metazoa; Chordata; Mammalia; Artiodactyla; Camelidae.